This 924-nucleotide ribosomal RNA is filed under the name uncultured bacterium. RNAcentral describes it as "bacterial SSU rRNA". It matches the Rfam family "Bacterial small subunit ribosomal RNA", at positions 1 to 917 of the family's 1533-position model. The record is from RNAcentral. RNAcentral also lists the same sequence under 1 other name.
UGGAUCCAGACUUUGAUUAUGGCUCAGGAUGAACGCUAGCUACAGGCUUAACACAUGCAAGUCGAGGGGCAGCGGGAUUGAAGCUUGCUUCAAUUGCCGGCGACCGGCGCACGGGUGAGUAACGCGUAUCCAACCUUCCGUACACUCAGGGAUAGCCUUUCGAAAGAAAGAUUAAUACCUGAUGGUAUGAUGAGAUUGCAUGAUAGCAUCAUUAAAGAUUUAUCGGUGUACGAUGGGGAUGCGUUCCAUUAGGUAGUAGGCGGGGUAACGGCCCACCUAGCCAACGAUGGAUAGGGGUUCUGAGAGGAAGGUCCCCCACAUUGGAACUGAGACACGGUCCAAACUCCUACGGGAGGCAGCAGUGAGGAAUAUUGGUCAAUGGACGAGAGUCUGAACCAGCCAAGUAGCGUGAAGGAUGAAGGUCCUACGGAUUGUAAACUUCUUUUAUAAGGGAAUAAACCCUCCCACGUGUGGGAGCUUGUAUGUACCUUAUGAAUAAGCAUCGGCUAACUCCGUGCCAGCAGCCGCGGUAAUACGGAGGAUGCGAGCGUUAUCCGGAUUUAUUGGGUUUAAAGGGAGCGCAGACGGGUCGUUAAGUCAGCUGUGAAAGUUUGGGGCUCAACCUUAAAAUUGCAGUUGAUACUGGCGUCCUUGAGUGCGGUUGAGGUGUGCGGAAUUCGUGGUGUAGCGGUGAAAUGCUUAGAUAUCACGAAGAACUCCGAUUGCGAAGGCAGCACACUAAUCCGUAACUGACGUUCAUGCUCGAAAGUGUGGGUAUCAAACAGGAUUAGAUACCCUGGUAGUCCACACGGUAAACGAUGGAUACUCGCUGUUGGCGAUAUACUGUCAGCGGCUUAGCGAAAGCGUUAAGUAUCCCACCUGGGGAGUACGCCGGCAACGGUGCAACUCAAAUGAAUUGACGGA